GACAGCCGGCAGAAGGAGGGGCACGGUGCUGCGUUCAAGUGCUGUGUUGCAAAAAUCAGUGGUCUUGGUUUUGCUCAAUAGCCCCUGCUUUGUCAAACAAGCAAAAAAAACCAAAAACUCAUCAAAAACUUGUAUCUGCCGGCCACCGUAGCACCAGCGUGAUGACGGCAGUUGACCAGUGAGCGUCAAUCCCUCAGCCACUCGCCCACCCCAGGGACACUUUAACGCCGCCGCUGUCAAAUUACACGAGAGAGAAGCACCGGAGGAGCACUCUGUCUGAUUAGUCAUCCUGCUCAGCAGCUGUAUUUUGACACAUGCACAAACAAUCACGGUCAUCGCCAGUCCCAGAUGCUCACAGGCUCAGAGAGAGAGAGAGAGAGAGAUAACAAUAAAGUUAUAUUCUGAA
Molecule: long non-coding RNA, 406 nt
Organism: Scophthalmus maximus (turbot)
Lineage: Eukaryota; Metazoa; Chordata; Actinopteri; Pleuronectiformes; Scophthalmidae
Exons: 2
Source: RefSeq, a predicted model, not a curated record